This 253-nucleotide ribosomal RNA is filed under the name uncultured bacterium. RNAcentral describes it as "partial 16S ribosomal RNA". It matches the Rfam family "Bacterial small subunit ribosomal RNA", at positions 524 to 776 of the family's 1533-position model. The record is from RNAcentral.
UACGUAGGGUGCGAGCGUUAAUCGGAAUUACUGGGCGUAAAGUGUUCGCAGGCGGCCGAGCAAGUCGAGUGUGAAAGCCCCGGGCUUAACUUGGGAAUUGCGCUCGAAACUACUUGGCUGGAGUGUGGCAGAGGAAGGUGGAAUUCCAGGUGUAGCGGUGAAAUGCGUAGAGAUCUGGAGGAACACCGAUGGCGAAGGCAGCCUUCUGGGCCAACACUGACGCUCAUGCACGAAAGCGUGGGGAGCAAACAGG